CUGUCCAAUCCUUUCAGGUGUCUUUCCAGAUAAAUUGUUGUAUGACACAUUGAAGUAUUCCAGGAAAUGUAACACCGCAAAUUCGGCAGGGAUAUUCCCUGUCAAAUUGUUGUAGGAAAGAUCUAGACUUUCCAUGUCCAUGAGGUUAGAAAAUGCAUGUGGCACUGGUCCGGUCAAGCUAUUGUGAGAAAGGUUCAAUGUGAAGAGUUUCAUAAUGUUUUUUGUUUCAAAACUAAUUUCACCGGUAAGCUUGUUGCAGGAGAGAUCAAUUCCAGACAUGUAUUGAAGCAUUCUUCUCUUGUAAUUGUAGGAUCUGCUCUUUACUGUGUAUUCUAUUGAAACUUCAUUGGCCAUCGAGUUAUUUAUGCUGUAAUAAAUACUUCGAUGCCUAAUAUAUUGCUCAGUUACAUAGUUCAGCGCAGCAACUCAUAAACAAGAAGGAAUACCACCAGAGAGAUUAUUUUGAGAAAGAUCAAUCAAGCUUAAACGAUCCAACUUGCAUAAUUGAAUUGGAAUUGCACCCUCAAAGUGGUUUCUCCUUAAGAGAAGAUAACUUAAUUCAUAAAGAUUGCUAACCCAAUUUGGAAUGUUACCCUUCAAGUGGUUGUAGCUGAGAUCCAAUGUCACCAACGAAGAGCUAUCAUGAAAAGCAUUUGGUAACGCUCCUUGUAGCUUAUUUUUAAAUAAAUGAACUUCCUUCACCGAUACCGGCUUGAAGCAAGAUGGUAGAGUCCCAGAUAAACUGUUCAUGGAAAGGUCCAAAAAUUGGAGUUUGAGAUUGAGACUACAAAUUGCCCUUGGUAUUGAACCUUCAAGUUGAUUAUCUGCCAUGGAAACUAGUGCCAAAUUCGAAGCAUUUCCCCUCCAUUGUGGCAACCUACCAAAGAGUUGGUUCCUGCUCACAUCCAAUGAUGCCAGCUCUGACAUAUUCCAAAUCCAACUUGGGACUUCACCAUAGAUAUAGUUGUUGCUAAGAUCUAGUAUAUUCAAGCCAGAGUAAGCUAAGACAUUUGGGAUCAUCCCAGUGAAGUUAUUUCCAUUUAAUUGGAGCUCCAACAAGCUCUUUAGAUUAAAAUUUCCUGAGAAAAUUGAUCCUUGUAAUUUGUUAUUUGAUAAUACAAGUACCUGUAAUGAAGAGCAGCCUAUAGCCAUGUGCUGAGGUAUCUCUCCAGAUAAUUGGUUGUUUGAUAAGUCCAAAACUUGUAGGGAACUCGUAUCACCAAAAGAAGAGGGAAUGCUGCCAUUGAAAUAAUUCCUUGACAUGUUCAAAUAACGCAAAAAUGGUAGGUGUGCGCCCAUUCUUACUGGGAUGUUGCCACCGAAGGCAUUGUUGGAGAUAUCCAAACGUGAUAAAGCAGAAUGCACACGCGAUGGCACUUGAAAAGGCCCUGAUAGAGAGCAAUUCACGAGAUUCAGGGUCAUUAGCAUCGUGUUGUUUUCCAACAACCAAACCGGAAAUCGAUCCACCUUGAAAUAUAUGUCUGAGAGAGAAACCUCCUGCAAUUCACUUUGAUGGUACAAGAAUUUUGGAAAUGGCCCACCACUUCCACAACAAGUUAAGCUGAUGGAACUCAAUUGGAACCUUGGAGCCGAAGAAUGCGACAUCUCAUGAUCAUCAGCAUGUAUGGUGUUGUUAUCUGCAUAGAGGUACUUGAGUUUUGAAAGGUUGAACAAGGGUCUUAAUGAGCUUGGGAUGUGAAAUUUAUUGUUUGAAACAUCCAACGAUUGGAGGGAUGUUAGACUUUCAAGGGCAGAUAUAUUUCCAGAGAAUUGAUUAGAAGAGAGGCCCAAAGAUUCAGAGAAUUGAUUAGAAGAGAGGCCCAAAGAUUCAAGCAAUGUUAGGCUCUGAAGGGCAGAUAUAUUUCCAAAAAACUGAUUAGAAGAGAGGUCCAAAGAUGCAAGCAAUGUUAGGCUCUGAAUGGCAGAUAUAUUUCCAGAGAACUGAUUAGAAGAGAGGUCCAAAGAUUCAAGCAAUGUUAGGCUCUGAAGGGCAGAUAUAUUUCCAGAUAACUGAUUAGAAGAGAGGUUCAAAGAUUCAAGCAAUUUUAGGCUCUUAAGGAUAGAUAUAUUUUCGGAAAACUGAUUGGAAGAGAGAGAUAACAUUUUAAGGGAGGUGAGGUUGGAGAAACACAUGGGUAAGCUACCCUUUAGAUUACAGUCUUGCAUGUUCAACUCUUGGAGAUUUGUCAAUUCACAGACAUCUGCAAAAGUAGUAGUAUAUAUGUAUAUAUUUAAGGAGUUUACAAAUAGGUACAAAUCUAAAUAAUAAAUAAAAUAUGUUGAAUUAAUUAGAAUAAUAAUCAAUUCAAUAUAAAAUAUUCAAGAGUGAAAAUUAGAAUAUAUUAUUUGGGAGAGAAUCUACACGUGAUGGGAUUCGAAUCUAGGCAUUCAAGAUGCUAAGCCUUAAUUCUUUGCCUUUAGUGUGUUUAACCAUUUUUCUUUGGUCCAUAAGGUUUGUAGAAUUUAAAGUUUUAGCCUUUCUAGUUGUGAAAUUAUAAAUUUAAAGACUAAUUGGUGUAUUGUUAAUAAAUUUCUAUUAAAUUAGAAUAUAUGCAUUUUAAUAUUCAAAAAAAUAGAAGUAGUUAAUUUUUUUUAUUUAUAUAUAAAAUCAAAAUUAUAAAGUAGAUUUGAAUAUCCUUCCUUUAUGGCUUUAUGUGAAUAAGUAAAGCAAAUUCACAUGUAUCUAUCCAUAUCCAUUUUGAAUCUGAAUAUUAUCUGAAUUUAUAGCAUUCGAAUAUAAAAGAAGCAUGUCAAAUUUAUAGAUAUAUGAAUCUAUAAUCCGAAUUACCACAUCUAAGAGAAAUUAUAUUUCAAAAUUCAAAAAGCAGCACAUUUAUAUAUAUUAAAUCUAGAAAUAUAUAAAAACUAAAAUGAUGAGUAACUGAAAAUAGAAUAUUUACCAUGCAUAGGUGGACUGUUGUUACCAUCAAUACCAAAGGCGGUCAAUUUUUUAAGAGAAAUGAGUGGUCCAAAAACUUGAAUAAAGUUUGAAGGUAAAGAUGAAUGAGACAACUCCAACUCUUCCAAACUUCUUAAAUUUAGGCCUUCUGUUCAAUAACAUUAACUGCAAGUUAUAUUUUGAAAAAAAUUAUGAGAAACAAUGUAUAUUUAUAAAACUACGAAGAAAAUAAGGAUUUGAAAUUAUGAGUUUCAUCCUGUUCUUUUAUUUUACAUAAAUUGAGAUGUUAGCUUUUUCUAUUUUAAUUUGUCAAAAUUUGGUUAAUGUAGUUUGUGUAAAUUAAGAAGCUAGUCUAGUUAUUGGUAAUAAUAUAUAUUCUCAUCUUUACAUCCUUUUAUAAUUGUUUUUUGAAAAGAGAUCCUGCAGAAUGCAUUAGUUUGACGGAAAAUUACAACGUUAAAAAACAAUUUCCUAAAAAGCCUUAAACGGCACCUUAGCAUCCUUUCAUAAAUUAAAACUACUAAAUUAAUUAAUCAAAUUUUAUUCUUAAAUCUAGAAAAUGGAUUUAAAACAAAAAUUUGACAUUGAAAGUGUAUAUUAUCAAGUAUAUAUAGUUAAGGACAAUUUGAAAUAAAAAAUGACUUAAAAUCAAAUAAAUAUUAUCAUAAGAGGGAAAUUGAAAGAAUGAAAUUACCUUGUCGAGUGAGGUUUUUGUUGACGUUACAGUACAACAACUUUAAACGCUUCAAAGAAGUAAAGUCUGCUGUAACAGAGGCUUUCAAUAUCAAAUAUGUGUGAGAGAGGGAAAGGCAAAGAUAUUAGUGAAAUAUCCCAACAAAAAUAAAUUAGUCUCUCUACGCUCUACUCUUAAUCUCGGAAAUUUAAUCUCUCUAUUCAUUUGAUUUAAUAAUUGAAAUCCAACUGAUAACAUUAUCAAAGGAUUUUCGUUAAAUUGAAUUACAUGGCUUUUUUAAUAUGAAAUAUUUACUCACGUGGCUAACUGUAUUUUGCAGAUUAUAACAUUGUUUGCAAAUGCUUAAAAUGUGUAAUAAUUUGAUCGAACAAAAAAAAAGUUUACAUGACUGGAAGGCCAAAUAAACAAAAAUAAAUGUUGAAUCUAGUAUCGUAAGAUUUUCGAUUUCGAAAAUGAGAAGAGUAUAAGGACUGCAUGCAUAAUUAGACCUACAUGUAUAAAUUAAGUUUGUAAGAAAACAUCAAAACUUACUAUUGCGGGAAUAAGAAGCCAUUGAGGUUUCAUUAAUAUUAAAUCCUCCUAAAGAAAGAGUGUUCAAAGUGGGGAAGAAGCCCAAUGAUUGUAAUGAGAAGCUACAACCUGCAUCUGCAUCUGCCUCUGUAUAUGCAUCUGCAUGUCAAACAAUGCUUUAUUUCAUUAGAAAAUGUGUAAUUAACAAGUCAGGGCAAAUAAAACAAAUCUUUAUUUCUGUUUCCUCUUCUUCAUAUCUAUAAAUUUUAUAGUUUACCUCCCCAAAGUAGAGUUUAACAUUACCUGUAAAGCAGGCCAUAUUUCUUUUUUCUUUUGACUUUAAUAGUAAGAUGACUUUUAAAUGAUUUCUUUUUCUUUUUUUUUUCUCUCAAAAUUUUAAUUUUUGCAUUACCUAUAUAGCUGGCCAUAGUCAGCUCUUCCAAAUUGCCAAAACCAUAUAAAUCUGAGGAGAAUCAGAAAUUGGAAAAUAGUUUAGUUCAAAUAAAGCUUAUGAAUUUAUAUAUCUCAUUCAAUAAUUCUUUUCUUUUCCUAAGAAAAAAAAACAGAGGAUGGAGAGAAGGGUGAUUUUUACCUUUCAUAUCGAUUAAUCCAUUGCAUUGAGAGAUAUCUAUCCUCAAUGUCUUUAGAUUCGGAAGUGUAGCAAGAGAUGGCAAUAUACUAUUUUUGAAACCAUUAACACUCAAAUUAAGAUGUUUCAAAUUCAUCAGCCUUAGUCCUGCACCAUUAUCAAGUAACAACAUUUAUAGUUAUUUUAUUCCUUAAAAUAUUUAUUUUUUAAAAAUUUGACACGUGCCUUUUUUUUAAAUACUUUAUUAUAUCUCUAUAGGACACUUGUCAACCCAACGACUUUACUUAUGGAGUCUAAAAUCUCCACCAGUAAUAUACUAAAUAUUUUCCCUAAGUUUAUAAUAAAUUUAACAAUAACAAAAUUUUAAAAAAAUAAAUUUAAUGUUAAAUUGAAAAUUAAAAAAAAUCAUAAAUACCUUGAGAUGGAAUCAAAAUUAUCGGAUAAGAUCAACUCCUCUAAAUUGCUGAGAGCAUUUAAAUCUGAAGAUAACGUUAAAAAGGAAACUAAAAAUAACUUUAUUUUGCUUAGUAUAUUAAUUUAAAUAUUUAAAGCAUUCAUAAUGGGAACUAUUCAUUAAGCCUACUACAUUAUUUGAGUUUCAUUACUAUUAAAUCCUCCUAAAGAAAGAGUGUUCAAAGUGGGGAGUAAGCCCAAUGAUUGUAAUGAAAGGCUUUAGAUUUGAAAGUGUAGCAAGAGAUGACAAUAUAUUACUAUUGAAACCAUUAAUACUCAAAUCAAGAUGUUUCAAAUUCAUCAGCCUUAGUCCUGCACCUUUAUCAAGUAACAACAUUUUUACUUAUUUUAUUUCAUAUAAUAUUUACUUUUUAAAAAUUUGACACGUGUCUCUUUUUAAAAUAUUUUCUUAUAUCUCUAUAAGACACUUGUCAACCCAAUGACUUUAAUUAUGGAGUUUAAAAUCUCCACCAGUAAUAUAUCAAAUAUUAUUUCCUAAGUUUAUAAUAAAUUUAAUAAUAACAAAAUUUUCGACUAAGUUUUGGCCUAACUUGAAUGGGUUUAUUCAGUUCAACUUAUGAAAUUUCUAUUAUCAAUGGUAAAUAUUAAGUUAAGUGUUCAAAUAGAGAUGAAACUUUUUAUGAGUUGCACAUGAAUUAAAACUUUAAACAUAAUUAAGUAAAAGGUAAGUCUACCUCAUAUAAGAGAGAAACCUUACACAAUGACCAAAUAAGAGUUGAACCUUUUCAAUUGUGCUCAAAUAAGAAUUUUUCAAAUACCAUAUAAUAUAUUUGAAAUUAUGUUUUUUUUUUUAACUUUUCAAAUAAUAUCUUAUUAAACCGUGUGUGUUUUAUUCUAAACACGUUAGCAUUCAUCUAAUUUUUACUUUCAAAAGGGCAUAACUUUUUUUUACCGUUUUGAAAGGUAGGUGCUUGCAUAUAAAUAUUAACAAUUUAUUUAACAUAUGUCUAGUUAAUUGGAAAAUGGAUGAAAAGCAUUUAAUUGUGAAAGGAAAAUUACAAAUAAAACUAAUAACAAAUCAUAUAAAAUCAAAAGAUAUCAUAUUCUUACCUUUUGUAUAAAUUGCCCCCUCCAAUUGGUUAUCAGAUAAAUCUAAUGACUUCAAAUUUGAGAACUCAACAAGGGAUGAGAAUAGGCUAUUGUUCAAGAGAUUACCAUUUAAACUAAGUACCUCAAGUUUGUUGAACUUCAUUCCUUCUUUUUCUGAAAAGAAAAAAAAGUUAAUGUAAUUUCAUCUUAAAAAAAGAUAAUAUGUUGGAACAACAAUUAAUUAAGCAAGUGAUUUACCAUGGAAUAGUGACCCAAGGCUCUCAAUUUCAUUUCCCUCUAAAUACAGCUCCUUCAAGUUCAUCCAAUUAUUAUUGCUUUCUGUUCAUAUCCAAUGAAAAUAUAUGUUAGUUAAUCAAGUUAUUUAGAAAGAGAUAAUAUAACAUUUAGUCCCUAAAUUUUGUAAUUUUCUCCAACUUGGUCCUUGACCUGUUUUUUGUCCACAUUAGUCUUGGAAUUUAACAUCUUUCCAUAGCUUUGGCCAAUGAGAUGAUGUGGCACUAUGAGAUUGUGUCACGUCAUCACCUAAAUUCUUGAAAAAUUGCUAAAUUCCAGGACUAAUGUCGACCAAAAAAGUUUAUAGACUAAGUUAGAAAAAAUUACUAAAUUCAAGGACUAAAUCUUGCUUUACCCUUAUAAAAACAACUAACUAAUAAACUUUCUAUUUUUUUUAAUCAAAUUAAGCAUGAUAUUCAAAAAAGAAACAUGCCUUGUAUAUCAAGGGUUCCUUUUAGUCCGCAAUACUCAAUACACACUGGUGUCAUAGUGGCAAAACCAUCUAUAUUUCCAAAACUGUUGUAAGAUAAAUCCAAAGUUUCCAAAUUAUUCAACUUUGAUAACAUCUCAAUACCUGCCAACAAUAAUAUUAAAAAAAAAAAAAGGAGAAAACUAUUUUAAACUUGGAUAAGCUUUGCAUCAUAUACAAUUUAAUACUUUUACCAUUGGUAGGAUUUGAUCUUGUGAAUACAUUGUAAGCUAGAUUUAAAGACUUAAGCGAGGAAAGUUCACUUAAGGAUGCUAAAAUGCUAUUGUUGAAAUGAUUGUCACUCAAGUCAAGAUUCUCCAACUUAUCCAAUUUCGAUGACAACCUUUCAAAACCUACAAGGAAUAAGGAAAUAUAGUAAAUUAGCAAUGUCGGGGGACAGGGUCUUAGCUCCAAAAAAUAUGGUAAAUUUUCAGUUUAGUCCUUACCAAAACUGUAAAUUGAUGCAAUAAUACAAUUUCAUUUCAACAAUGAACAAGUAGUUGAAAUGAUUUUUUUGACAUACAAAAUAAUAAAAAGAAAUAAAUAUUUGUAAUAAAGUUGAAAGGUAAUAAACCCUGAUUGGCAACACAGCCGGUUAUGAAAUUCCCACUUAAAAGAAAGAUUCUGUAAUUUCUCAAAAGGAAGAAACAAAGAGGCAUUAAGAUACCAAUCUCUCUUCAUGUUGCUGGAAUAAUUAAGGAAAAGAUGGGUGACUCGUCCACUUAUUGGGUUGCAUUCAACCCUUUCCCACUCACAACAAUUUGAUGAACUCUCUUUUUCCGGUUUUGACUCAUAGUCUAGAUCUUGAAACUUAUAAUCAAUGAACGCAAAGAAAGGUUUGAGCUGGAAUAGAGCAAAUCUUUCCUCCUCUAAGCACCCAUCACACAGCCCAGAACCUAACGAUAACACUACAAGAACCAUGGCUAACCAUUUCGACUCCAUCUCAGCAGUACUUUAUGCAUUUGUAGCCAAUGCUGCAACCCCUUGUGCUUUAUAUGCUACAACUGAAAGGAAGAAUCCCCUCAUGCUUCCAAGAAAUUCAUUCAUAAGGGUCCACUUAUCACUUAAAUGGUAUACUUUUUUGUUUUUCAACUUCAUUAUUAAUUAUUUUUCAUGGAACCUCUUAUUUCUCUCCUCUAUUAAUUUGGAUGUGAUAAAAUAUUGAUAAACUAAUAUCAAAUAUUCUCUAUAUACUUCGGGGUUUAAAUAUGUUCCUAUCAAAUUUGAAUUGAUAAUUAAUGCUGAACUUUAAGAUAAUAGAAAGACUUCAUUGAUACAAUACUCAACAUAAUUAUAAAAUUUAUAAAUAAAAUUUUUUAAAAUGAUUUAUGUUGGAUAUUGUUUAUGAUGCCUGUUUAUUGUAACUUCCUUAUGAAGGUGGAAAAUGUAGAUUUUUGUUUCGAUAGUUUGAAUUAUUAUUGAGAAGACCUUGACUUAGAUGAUAGCAUAGUAAGGACAUGUUUGAUUGUGAAAUUGUAAUGCAAAACCACAGGUAGAAGGCAUUUAUAACCAUUGAUUUCAGACAAACCAACAUCGUAAAGAAUGUGUGGUUGUAUGUCCGGUGAAUUGGUUGAAGAGUGAUGUGGGUACCAUUUGCAUUCCAUGUAUAAGAGGGAAAAUUCAAAGUAAACGCUGGAUUCUCACGAUUAUGGAGCCCCCCAAAUUGACAAUGAUGAUUGUUUAAAUUACAAACGUCCAAACUAAGUUAAGCUUCUGGGGUCUCUGCAUUUCAUUUUUCCGGAAUUAUAAUUUAUAUUAUUUAAUUCAUAUUAAAAAAUUAUGAUUUAAUUCUUAUUUAAAAUUUAUUAAAUAAUAAUUAAUUUUUAUCAUAUAAUUAUAAAUUAAAUUCUAUAAAAGGUAAUUAUUUGAUACACCCGUCUGUGUAAUUUUUUAGAUUCCAUAAGUGGGUUGAGUGUGUGGCAAGUGUUACAUUUUUUUUAUAUAAUUAGUUUUUUUAAUUUCUACCAUACCCUAUAAUACACUUGUCAAACCUUUAAUCCAUUUGUGGACUUAUUUAAACUUUUUAUUUUUUAUUGUACCAAAUAUAUUAUAUUUUGUUAGACAUAAAAAUUAAAUUUAAUAUCUUAAAUGGACUCCUAAGUUAUUUUAUUGAUGAAAUAUUUUUAAAAAAAUUAUUUAAAAGAUUUACAUUUCUCCAAGCUAUUUCCCAAUUCGUGGCUUAAAUGAUUUACAUUUCUCCAAGCUUUAUUAUUUACAUGUGAUUUUACGUGUUUAAUAUUUAACUAUUUUUAAAUAUUGUACUUUCAACCACAAUAAUUAAUAUAAAGUAAUUUUUUUUAUUUGAAUUAUUAGAUAUAAUUAAAAUAUAUUAAAUUAUGAAUUCAAAUAUUUUAAUAGAAUUUUUUGAGUCAAUUUUAAUAGAAAUUUUUAAAAAAACAAUUAACACAUUUUUAACGUAUAAAAUAUUACUUUAUUUAAUUAAUGUAAAAUAAUAUUAUUCAAGAUAAUAACUAAUUACAUAAUUACCUCUAAUAUUAAUUAAGUGUGAUUAAUAUGCAUAAAAUUUUAUUCAAGUAAUAAGUAUAUUUUAUAAUCAUCACAAUUGUUAACUAAGAAUUGCAAUCUAAAUUCUUAGUAGUUCUAAAUAUGUAAUACAUAAAUAAAAAACCUUUUUAAAAAUAUACUAAUAUUUAACCUUGAAUUUCAUAUAUUUGAAAUGUUUGGAUACUAUAUUUUUUAAAUUUCGUGUGGAAAUUUUGACUUUUGCUUCAAUAGAUAGAAUUAUUAUUGAAGAGAUCUUUACUUAAGUGAUGGCUUGUUGAAUUAUAAAAUGGGUUUAUUACUAAGUGAAUUUACUAAAUAUUUGUUCAGACUCUUCAUUUCCUUUUUAAAGUACGCGUUUACGAUAUUCAUAUCAGCCGCAUAUUCAGACAUAAAUACAGAAAUAUAAUGUUACAAAUAAGUGAAAAAAUUUUUAAAAUAAUUAAAUACCGAAUAAAUACCCAUAUUGAGAAAGUUGUACUUGAGAGUAACAAUUUUGACAAAUAAGAAGUUGAGUGGUUCAAUUUAUCACAAUUUCACAUUAUAUUUUUGUCUAUUAAAUAAUCAUAACAAACAUAAUUCACUUUCAAAAAUUAGGUAAAUUGCAAAAGCAACAAAGUUAACUUAAAGGCUAAAUAUGUCAUAGGUUCUUAUACUUUUCAUAAUUUCAAAUUUUAGUUCCUUCUAUUUUUAUAUUUCAAAAUUUAGGUCAAAUUGUUAACACUGUUAAAAUUUUUUAAUUAAAUUUAUUGAUGUAACAUUUUGAAAUAAAAAAAAUAUUCAUUUAAUAACAAUGUAACUAAAAAAAUAAUAUAAUGAAUCUGAAUUUAUUUUAAUGUAAUAUAACUAAAAAAAAAUCACUUGAUGCUUGAAUGGCAGAAUAGAAAUGGGAGCAAGAAAUGUUUGAUGGCAACAAAAGGUAUGGCAAGAUAGUACUUUAGGUUUUGUAAAAUAUAGGUUUUAGAGUUAGUUUGGCAAAUCUAAAUCUUGACGAUGAAGAGGAGGAGUUGAUUCUUUGUGAAAAAGAUCUGAAUGAUUUAGAAGAUGACUAUUGAUUUUGUUUGGUAGAAAAAGCUGUAACGGAGUGUGUGGUUCACUUUCCCUCUCUAAUGUUAAACGCUAUUAAUGAUGGUUUUUUAUGAAGUUUUGUUUGAAGGUCGUGGAAAUUUAAAUUUUUGUUUUGAUAGAUUGAAUAAUUAUUGAGGGCUUAGGAGAUGGUUUGUCUACAUGAUAGUGUAGUUUUUUUUUAAACAUUGCAAUUUACCUCUUCCAUCCAAGUUAACAACAGAUCAAAAGAAAAAAACUUUAUCCGUAAUCUAAAAAAGCAGAUCAAAUCUAUGGAUAUCUGAAUCCAUAAUCUAAAGUACCACAUCUAAGGGAAACUAAAUUUAAAAAUUCAAAAAACUUUUUUCAACAAUUAAUCUAUACUAUAAUUUUACUAUAGUUGUUGUACUUUGUGGGUUUGUAGAUCUUAGUUCAAUAGUUAUUUGUGAACUGCUGGAAAUUGUGGAAAGCUGUAGGCGACUUAAGGUAUUCCAAAGGCAAUUCAACAUUUCAUCAUUGCAGUAAUUUUCACAUAGGUUGAAAUCAAGAAACUCAUUUACAUUCCCAACAUUCCCAUUUGCAAUGGGGCUUUAACUUAUUUGCAUAUUUGAUGUUGACUUCAUUAAACAUUGAACAUUGAUCCCAUUCCACAUAUAAGAAAAUGAUACAAGAGAAGAGGGAAACUUCCAAGUCAAGCUUUGUUUAUAUUACAAACGUAUAACCCAAGUUUAAAACAACUAAAUAUAUUAAUAUUUAUGUUGGUAACUUUCCUAUGAACUUUUGUUUGAAGGUGAAAAUAUGAACUUUUGUUCCAAUAGGUAGAAUUAUUAUUGAAGUGAUGGCCACGAAUUGGAUCCAUUACUAAAUAAAUUUCAAUAAAUAAAUUUUAUACCCUUACUAUUAUUUAUCUAUGUAUUUUUCAUUUACUUUAUUUAUAAGAUUAAAUAUAUUUGGCUUCUUUCAACAAAAAUCAUGUUUAACUUUGAACCCCAUGAAGGUCAGGGGUAUUCACUGCCUCAAGUGUGGCCUGAAUUUGAGUCCUAUUAGUCGUGUUGAUUGUUUGGGCUUUACCUUAUUAUUGUAAUUCAUAAAAAAAAAAAAUUUUAACUUCAAAAUAUUUUAAAAUUAUAUUUAAGUUAGUUAUAUAUUGAUGUUGACAUGAAUUUAUUAAAUUAUUUUAUAUAAAAUUAAUUAGUUACCAUUAUUUAAAAGAUUAUAAUUGAAAAAAAUGAUUAAAAUAUAAAUUUGAAAAAAAUUAUUAAUCCCCUUGUGCUUCCAAGAAACUCAUUCCACAAAGGGUCCAUUCAUCCCAUAAAUGGAUUACCCUUUUUUCCACAAAGGGUCCAUGGAAAAGCCUCUUUUUCAAGUCUUCCAUUAAUUUGGAUGUGAUAGAAUACUAACAUUUACAUGACUGGUAAUCACCCACCGCUUACGCCGGGGUUUAAUGAAACAAUUUUUAUUAUUUAUUAUUUAUUUAAUAUUAAAUUUUGUUUAAAAUUUAUUAAAUAACAAUUAAUUAAUUAAAACUGAUUAAAUAUUAAUUAAUUAUUUAAACUCUUUUUUUAAUAUGUUAUGUUUUUGUUAAUUAUAAAAUUUGAAUCUAUGAAAAUAUAUGAGAACCUUAAAUUUAUUCGCAAGUUAUUUUAUGGAUAAUUCAUUUUAAAUUAAUUUUAAAAGUGAAUAUUCAAAUCAAUCCUUGUGUCGGUCAAUAAUGUUGAGUAUGAGUUGGGUGAUUUACCCAGGCCAAGCAGGAUUUAUUGACCUCAAAUCAAUAUGAAAUCAAAUUAAAUAAUAAAAAACUUAAUUUAAUUAUAAAAAAUAUUAAUAUUAUAUAAAAAUAAUAUGUGAAGCAUAAAAUCAGAUUAUGAAAUUAGGUGAAGCUGGCCCAACUUCACGAUUAGACAUGCAAACUUUGUGCUUUCUACGCUACAAGAAAUAGGAAAAACCCCUCAUGCUUAAAUGGUUUACUUUUUGUGCUUUAUAUACUGCUAGUCAAAUAAAAUGGGAACAAACGUUGAAGAAUGAGAAAAAUGGGCGACUCCAGAGUCCAGAGGCAUGGCCAUCAACUCAUGCUGCUUGAAUGGCAGAAUAGAAAUGGGAGCAACAAAUGUUUGGGUUUUAUUUAUUAAGGUUUUGGACUUUGAGUUUGAUCAUGCUUGGGUUUGACUAAACAACUAUGUGACUAUAUGACUAAACAACUCAAGCCUUCUCAGAAAUAUUCCUCAUGUUUCACCCCGUCUAUGGAUUUGAAUAAGUUGAAGCGAUCUAGUGAUCGAAGAAAAAUGCAAUCUCAAAAUCAUGACGUUAUAAGUUCAGAAACUUAUGUUUGGAGAGUCUAGAGAAAUUAAAUUGAAACGACUUGUAUGACAUACAUUAGUUCCCUCUUUAAUUGUUGGAACUAUCUUCCCUGUAAUGAGUUCUGUUAAUUUGUCUUUUGCUGCUUUCUCUUGAAUGCAGGCUAACUCUUUUGGAUUUUCACAUUCCUAGCUCGUAGCAUUAACUGAUUCGGAUUAGGGAUUUUUCUGAAACCUUCUCUGCCUUCAGGUCAAACAGAAACUUAGUCCUGCAGCAUACAAAGAUUUUGUGGGUUAUACGAAGGAAAUAGUCCAAAGUGGUAAAAGAUUGGUAAUCCUCUGCAAUGCAUUGUGGAGUUAUUUUCAGGACCUGAGAGGCUUCCUCUUCUUGAAAGGUAUGCAUCUACUCCAAAAUAGUAUUAAAUUUGAAGACUGUGAGCAGUUACGUUACAUUGUCAGUAAGGCAUUGUGAAAAAUAAUUUAGUUGGCUUAACCAUGUAUACAUUGAGCAGACACUUUCUGAUACUCAUCCAGUUAAUGCCAUAUUGUGCGGUUUUAGGUUUCAUUGGAAGCUUGGCAAAAUUAAUUUCCUAUUCUCAGCAUGAGUUAAUGAUUUAUAAAGCUAAGCCCAACAUUGUCUGAAAUCAUCAAAUAUGUUAGAGCCUUAAAGGCUGCAAGUGCCAUCAGAGGUCUUAUCUGCAACACUAGCAAAGAAACUGUUGAAGGUUGGUCAGCAUGUAGCAAAGAAGCCGACAACAAGCUGGCCAUGAAGAUAGAGCCAUGCAGAAGCUGCUGCAGCAAGCAAAACUGUUCCUAUUUUGUUUAUUUUGUAAUCUUAAGUUGAUGUAAUGCUUUUUAGUUCAUUUUGAACUAUGUUAGGUUAGUGAUUGAUGUAAUUUGUUGAUGAAUGAGCUGUUAACUCAGCUUUGUUUAUGUGUGCAAGCUUGUUUUUACAAGUUUCAAUGUAUUAGUGGUAGUAGGUAGCAAUUAGGUGACCACAUACUGAUUUUGACAAGCAAAUUGCUUGGUUUAUGUAUUGGCAUUAUGCCCUUGUUCAAAGUAGAAUGAAAUCAGUUUGUUUUCUUCCACAUACUCUCCAUUUUCUUUGUUUUUCUUCUUUCUUUUGUUUCAAAUUCGAUUGUUUCUUCUGCAAGUAUCGAGCCUUGUUGCUAAAGCCAUAAGCUGAACUUGUUUGCUCUUUGUUUCUAACACCAACAGAAACAAAUUGCCACUAUUCUUUAGCCUGUCAUUCAUUUCCAUCCCCCUUUUUAGCUUGCAACUAUUAUCCAUUAUUUUUACUGGAUCUUACCCUCUGUGUCAUCUGUUACAGAUUCAAGGGUUACGUGCCUGCGAGAUAUCAUUCUUUGUAUGAGCACUACCUCGAAACAAGUAAAAGAAAUGCCUGAAAAUCAGAGGAACUAAACUUAUCUGGUCAAAACAGUAAUUAUACGCUGCCGCUUGCCAAUGUGAUCGGUUAGAAGUGAAAGAUUGAGACUUUGGCAGCAUUGUACUUUCUAAUUCUAGAUCAACAAUCUUUGAAGAAAUAUUAUACAAACAUUAUGGAAGGUUUGUACGUAGUAUACUGCAACUUGGCACAGCAUUUGGAAGCUUUUGGAUGUGUAACCAGGACAGCUAAGUUGCUCAUUUGUGUGUGGAGGAAAGAAACUUAUUCAACACGAAGGUGGUGUUACACAUAGAAAACAAUAUUUCCAUAAUUAUUUGUUGCUACUACUGAGAUUAUGAAGGACUAGACCUAGUGACAGCUAACAUUUUGUACAAAUUGAAAUCAAACCAACUAAAAUAGCAGUGAAACUAAGAUAUGGCUUGUGGGAGUUUUUAUUUAGUUCCAAAAGAGCACUUUAAAUCCAGUCUUAACACAGUUGCUACAUAUAAACAUCGCAUUGCAAUCGACAAAUUUCACAACAAAAUUUUCUACAUGUUUCCACUACAAAAAUUUAUGGGGAAAUUAUCUACCACAAAAUAGUAGCAAGAAUCGACGGCCAUUUGCAUAUAGUAAAACCAUGUUUGCCUCCAAUAAGGAUUUAUGUACAGCACAGCUGCGAUACACAAUAGCACCAUCACGUAACAUGCAAAGAAGCUUGCAUAGAAGGCAUCCAUAUCAAUGAAACCAUGGUCUUCUUUGAUGCCAGAUGAAGCCUUCGGCGUCAGUGGUGUUGUGACCAUUGAACAAUUUUUUCCCACCAAUGAGCCACAAAGGAAAGGAUUCCCAAUAUAGUUGCUUUCAUCAAAUGCUCCCAAUUGUCCAAUCCUUUCAGGUGUCUUUCCAGAUAAAUUGUUAUAUGACACAUUGAAGUAUUCCAGAAAAUGUAACACCGCAAAUUCGGCAGGGAUAUUCCCUGUUAAAUUGUUGUAGGAAAGAUCUAGACUUUCUAUGUCCAUGAGGUUAGAAAAUGCUCGUGGCACUGCUCCGGUCAAGCUAUUAUGAGAAAGGUUCAAUGUGAAGAGUUUCAUAAUGUUUUUUGUUUCAAAACUAAUUUCACCGGUAAGCUUGUUGCAGGAGAGAUCAAUU
Molecule: long non-coding RNA, 15328 nt
Filed under: Gossypium raimondii (Peruvian cotton)
Lineage: Eukaryota; Viridiplantae; Streptophyta; Magnoliopsida; Malvales; Malvaceae
Description: long non-coding RNA (GRAI_LNC008743)
Source: RNAcentral